CCUACGGGAGGCAGCAGUGGGGAAUAUUGCACAAUGGGGGAAACCCUGAUGCAGCAACGCCGCGUGAGUGAAGAAGGAUCUCGGUAUGGAAAGCUCUAUCAGCAGGGGAGCAAAUGACGGUACCGGACGAAGAAGCCCCGGCUAACUACGUGCCAGCAGCCGCGGUAAUACGUAGGGGGCAAGCGUUAUCCGGAUUUACUGGGGGUAAAGGGAGCGUAGACGGUGUGGCAAGUCUGAAGUGAAAGCCCGGGGCUCAACCCCGGGACUGCUUUGGAAACUGUCAUGCUAGAGUGCUGGAGAGGUAAGCGGAAUUCCUAGUGUAGCGGUGAAAUGCGUAGAUAUUAGGAGGAACACCAGUGGCGAAGGCGGCUUACUGGACAGUAACUGACGUUGAGGCUCGAAAGCGUGGGGAGCAAACAGGAUUAGAUACCCCGGUAGUC
Molecule: ribosomal RNA, 440 nt
Filed under: uncultured bacterium
Lineage: Bacteria
Description: partial 16S ribosomal RNA
Rfam family: Bacterial small subunit ribosomal RNA
Source: RNAcentral